GAUGAAGAACGUAGCGAAAUGCGAUAAGUAGUGUGAAUUGCAGAAUUCAGUGAAUCAUCGAAUCUUUGAACGCACAUUGCGCCCCUUGGUAUUCCAUGGGGCAUGCCUGUUCGAGCGUCAUUUGUACCUUCAAGCUCUGCUUGGUGUUGGGUGUUUGUCUCGCCUCUGCGUGUAGACUCGCCUCAAAAUAAUUGGCAGCCGGCGUAUUGAUUUCGGAGCGCAGUACAUCUCGCGCUUUGCACUCAUAACGACGACGUCCAAAAGUACAUUUUUACACUCUUGACCUCGGAUCAGGUAGGGAUACCCGCUGAACUUAAGCAUAUCAAUAAGCGGAGG
Molecule: unclassified non-coding RNA, 336 nt
Filed under: soil metagenome
Description: partial contains 5.8S ribosomal RNA, internal transcribed spacer 2, and large subunit ribosomal RNA
Rfam family: 5.8S ribosomal RNA (bases 1-120)
Source: RNAcentral